Brassica oleracea var. oleracea is the source of this 1695-nucleotide long non-coding RNA. RefSeq lists it as uncharacterized. The record is from RefSeq and is a predicted model, not a curated record. The transcript has 3 exons. Lineage: Eukaryota; Viridiplantae; Streptophyta; Magnoliopsida; Brassicales; Brassicaceae.
CAUAAUCGAAGAAACGAAGUUCGUCUCUCCUCUGCGUGCGACGGCGACUUGAUGACCUAUGCGCUUCGUCCGAGUGAUGGUAUGCAAUCAAUUCAUCAACUUUCUCCUCAUCAAUGAAGAUUUCCCGCCUCCCCCAUUAACCGAAGCUACUGUAUAUAUAUGGCGUCACAUAGCUUUUUUGAAUGGAGAAAUUCAUCUCAAGGGAAAUAGAGGAGUCGGAGAGCAUCACCGGCGUCGUCUUCUUCCACAUACGGUGGCAAAAUCCAAAUCUUUGAUUGCCGUUAAAAUCCCAGGGUGAACCAAGUUUCUACCUGUUUGGAUUCAUUAUGUAUUGCAGCCACAGCUGCGAGAGCGCUGAAGUAAGUUCUUCAAGGAAUUUUCCUAAUUUUUACAGUCUACCUUGGUCCAAGAUUCUACAGGGGCUCAUUGAUUCAAAACUUCAAAGCACCUGCUGAAGGAAGGUGCCAUCUGUAACUAACCGUAUUCAACUUCACACGAAGUAACGACCACUUCAAAUUCACUGACUCACCAGUUUCCCUUCGCUUCAACAACCUGACCAAAUUUGUUAGUCCCAUGGCGGUGGUGUUAAGAACACCGUGGAACUUUCCAGAGGGACAACAGAUCUGAAGGGCGACAGAACUUUAACGGCGGCGUUUGGGAGAAGGCUACUCACAAGGAGGUGUACGGCGUUCAAGAAUAAUUAAUAUACCUUGAGGCUAAGGUCGUUUGAAGACGGAAGUGAGACGCCUCACGAACAUUAUUCUCACGCGGAUGAUUGUCAACGACUUGGAUAUGGAUGUUUUGGCUAAGGCGAGACUGGAUGAUCUCGAGGCUUUGAAGCUUGAUAAAUGCUCAGGUUCCUCUCUACCAAUGGACUUUCAGGAUCGUUUAAACACUGCAGUUGAAGACCAUAUAUAAAGGAAGAAGACUUUGUUGAGUAAGGAUCUCGGAAAAAUUGGGUUAAAUCAAUUUUUUUCUAAGGAACUUGAACCCUUUAUUUUUAAAGUGUUUGAUAUUAGAGAUGAGCAAUAUUUUCUGAUUUUGCGGACAUGAGUUAGAUGGAAUGGGGUAACAUUUUUUGACAUGGAUGAGAGCAACAAUUAUUUAUUCAACUCACUAGCGCAUCAUUUCUUCUGACACUAUUUAAUCUGCCACAGCCCACAGAUCUUGGUUCAUAUCAAUAUUAUUGUCCAACUGUGUGAUAUGAUAAUAUCAUUCACAAUCAAGGUCUUCCUCUACGUACCAUAUGCUUCUAACACUAUUUAACAUGUUUGAUGAACAAAAUUUUGUCAGUCCAUUUGCUAUCGUGUAUCUGAUAUUCAUGAAUCAAAAAUACAAUAUAAAAAGAAACUAAGACUGCAUGUGUACUUAGAAACUAAGAAACUAGAAAAUAUAGUUAUUUACUUCCUUUUUUAUAGAAAAUAUCUUUUUGGUACUUUUGUUUAAUUUUUUUUUAUAUUUUCCAAACAAUAUUAAUUAUAUAGUCAAUUUAAAUACAUGUCUAUAAGUUAUGGGAAAACAUAAUUACAAAAAAGUUCUGAAAUAGUUAUUAACCUCAAUGAUUGGAUAUCAAAAAAUGAUUUUUAUGUUUGUCUAAGCUGUAUCAAAAACUCGGAUUUCACAGUAAUCAAAAUAAGAUUAUUACACAUUUGAAAAUCAUAUCUAUCAUAUCUAUCUAUCCAAAUAGAUGAAGAU